GACGGAGGAUGCAAGCGUUAUCCGGAAUUAUUGGGCGUAAAGCGUCCGCAGGUGGCUGUUCAAGUCUGCUGUCAAAGCGCAGAGCUUAACUCUGUACAGGCGGUGGAAACUGAAGAGCUAGAGUAUGGCAGGGGUAGAGGGAAUUCCCGGUGUAGCGGUGAAAUGCGUAGAUAUCGGGAAGAACACCAGUGGCGAAAGCGCUCUACUGGGCCAUAACUGACACUGAGGGACGAAAGCUAGGGGAGCGAAAGGG
This 253-nucleotide ribosomal RNA is filed under the name uncultured bacterium. RNAcentral describes it as "partial 16S ribosomal RNA". It matches the Rfam family "Bacterial small subunit ribosomal RNA", at positions 524 to 776 of the family's 1533-position model. The record is from RNAcentral.